Molecule: long non-coding RNA, 1120 nt
Filed under: Sparus aurata (gilthead seabream)
Lineage: Eukaryota; Metazoa; Chordata; Actinopteri; Spariformes; Sparidae
Description: lncRNA (ENSSAUG00010014140.1)
Source: RNAcentral
CUCAAUUGACCCACGUCCAGCUUUACCAAAUUAAUUGCAUGAAGGUGGCACAUCCAUAAACGUUACACAACAGAUGUCAUGUAUCUAAUAAAAGACUAGAACAUAAUAAAACAAUAUAAAUAAGUAAAUGAUUUAUAGCCUGACUCAUUUUCUCUAGACUUUAGACUCUAAACUCAGAAUUUGGCACACAAAACUAAUAGAAAUUGAGGCAAGCUUUACUUGUCAUAUUCCAGCCACCAGGGACGUACAGCUCGCUGGGCACACGGAGAGGUGAUGAACACAUCUGGUUAUUCUAUCAUAUUUUUUAUUUGAAUUUACUUAAUCAUUUUUAUCAUAUGCACAGAAGAAGAAAUGUCUAUGAAUGUCUGAUGGUAUUUUGAUACUGACAAUAAACCUAAAUGUACUUUUAGCGUAAGACAUUUUCUCUUUUCCUAAAAACUUCCAUUACAGCCUUUUAGAGCUUCUGUCAGUUAUCUUGUGUUGAAUGACGUAUUGUUUUAAAGUUGUCUCUAUUGCGUUUCAGACUCAACUUGGGCAGUUUGCUGGGUAAAAUCCACUGCUACUGAUAAUGUCCGUGGAAAUUCACGGCACGUUCAAAACCUCUGGCUCCUCAGCAGCAGUCGAAGAUCCAGAAACAGCCACAGCGAGUGUGGCAGCAGAGGGUGUCGCAUCAACUGGCAAUGACAAGAAAAGCGGAUCAUUCGGGGUCUCGCUGUUCGUCAAUGCCCUCAUUCAGAUAGGAAUUGGAGGAUAUUUCCACCAUGACUGCCCGGCCCAGCCCUACAUUCCCAUCUACAUGGAGGUACUGGGAACCGUCACAAUUGUAACAGUGAUUUCUUAUUGGUGGUAUAAGGACAGCCCCAAGAACUACCUGGUCAUCACAAUCUUGACUUUGGGCCUUCUCUUCUGCUUUUGCUUCUUCAUCACUGGUGGUGUGUGGAUCUACUCAAUCUACCCACCCAACUACGACAAGCUCAUAACACAGUUGAUACCUCACUGCAACAGGACACUCUACUUGUUUGCCUUCAUUGACACCACCAUCAUCUGCGUGAUAGUAGGUCUUAUCAUCCUUUCAGGCUGCUGCUGUUUUGCUUUCAAGUGUGUUUCCACGAUUAUAUAA